CAAUAGCGUAUAUUAAAGUUGUUGCAGUUAAAAAGCUCGUAGUUGGAUUUCGGGACGGUCCGGCUGGUCCGCCGCAAGGCGUGUUACUGACCGGGCUGUCCUUCUUUGCAAAGGCUGCAUGUGCUCUUAACUGAGUGUGUGUAGGAUUUGUGACGUUUACUUUGAAAAAAUUAGAGUGUUCAAAGCAGGCCAGCGCUUGAAUACAUAAGCAUGGAAUAAUGGAAUAGGACUUUGGUUCUAUUUUGUUGGUUUCUGGAACCGAAGUAAUGAUUAAAAGGGACAGUUGGGGGCAUUUGUAUUUCGGUGCUAGAGGUGAAAUUCUUAGAUUACCGAAAGACAAACUGCUGCGAAAGCGUCUGCCAAGGAUGUUUUCAUUGA
This 378-nucleotide ribosomal RNA is filed under the name uncultured eukaryote. RNAcentral's name for it is "partial 18S ribosomal RNA". It matches the Rfam family "Eukaryotic small subunit ribosomal RNA", at positions 592 to 976 of the family's 1831-position model. The record is from RNAcentral.